UGGUUUAACUCUCUUCUGGUUAAUGAAAUAAAACCAAUGUGCUCUAGCAUUCCAUGAACAUGACAAGAAUAUCUUUAGUUAGAAACCAAGAAGCAAUAUGCUUUCAGUUGCAUCGAUCUAUUUACAGGUCCGACUAUCAAUUAUUGAAACAAGAGGAUCCAUGAAAGAUACCGGUAUACAACUUAUAUGACAGUGGAGAAGCUGAUGAGCGAAGAUCUUUAUGUAUAUGAGAUCCUGACCAUCAAUUCCAUGCCAGGUGAAACACCUUGAGUACUCCUCUAGUUGGCUAAGAUUCUUGAUCUUCCUCAGUCAGCAAAUAUUUCAACCCUCUUGCUAAGGGACGAGUUAUUUUCAUGCGCUGCUGUCCUUACUGCUGUAAUUUGUGUGAAGGUACGCCCUUUGAUCUUCAUCCUACAUAGCAUGAAAAAGAAUUAACAGCAGACAAAAGACUGAUGCCUUGAAACUACAAAAGCGAAAAGAUUGACCGUCAUGUUUCAUAUAAAAGGGAUAGCACUAAAGUGAUAAAGAAGACCGAAUUUCGUCUCACCCCUUCCAUAUCCUCAUCAGACGCAUUAUUUAUUCUUGAGUACAAGGUCACUUCAUCAAUUUCACUUACGGUCUUCAUAUUUUCCUGUUAUUACGUCAUGAGUAAUUAAGGAUUAGAUGUUUUGGACCAAGGGUAAGCUUAAAGCGAUAAAAUAUUCAUUAAAGAGCAAUCAUACUAGCUCAAGCUUUAGCUUCUCCAUUUUCUCUUGCAGGUCUGAAAUAUGGUGCUUUAGUCCCUGAAAAUUUUUAAACAGAGUUUUGUAAUCAAUAUUAAUAUAUUCAAUAACGAGCCUGAAAAAAAUGAAAAGUCGAACUGUAAAAACGAGUAAAAGUCAUAAGAUCACCUCACGUCUCUGAAGUUCAAUCGAGCGGGCUAAUGCCUGCCUUUUUGUCAGAAGAUUUUUGGGCCUAAAUGCACUAGGGCGUUGGUAAUUCUUUCCACGAUAGACUAUCACAGCAUAGCCCUUGGCAGUUUUGUCUACGGAAACUAACACCCCACCACUCUCAGCCUCAAGAGAAACUGCAAUAUGCUUGACUUGUGAAAAUGUUUUUCGGUCUACAAGUAUCUUUACCAACUCUCGAUACUUCCAAUGUAAGUGCAUAUUUUCUAUAGUGCCAUCAAAAACUUCUCGCCUCCCUACAGUCAAAAGAUAACAAUAAGCCCAGUUCUGUACCCCAUUAAUCUAAUAUAUUACACGGGAUGAAAUUCUUACCUAGAAGCAAAUAAGGUUUCAUGCUCAGACCAAUCUUACGAAACAAAAACCUCUCCUCGUCACUUAAGGUUUCUAAAUCAGUUGGUAGCUCCGAGGGUUCCAGACUUCCCUGUAGUUUCAUUAAAGCCUUCUCAGCCUUUCUGAUCUUCCCGCUUGCCUGCAGGCACAUUAGAGUAUAUGGUAGUAAAAAAUGUAAGUUCUAAACAAGUUCUUUCAAGAAAAUGCUUAAAUAUCACAGCUCACAAGGGCUAGCUUCCUCUCAAGAAACUUGACCAAAGAAGCACGUCUAGCUAUAGCCGAAUCUCUCAUCAUUUUCUCUAUUUCUGCACUGCUUGGCUCUUUUCCCCAUCGUGAGGUAGCGGCUGUUGUCUCAGCAAGGGUCCCUGCAACUAAAGGCUGCUUAGCUGCUUCGGAAUAUGAAAUAAUAGAUGUCGCUGCUUUCUGCCUUGCUCGUUCUUCGUCGUCCUGUUGGACUGCUACACGUUUCUCUACUUCUACCAGUGCAUAUGAAAUACCAGGUGGCAAGAAGUCAUUACCCCUGUAAAAGACAAUAUAGUCCUUGUUCCUGGAAAGUAAUGUUCCUCCAGUUAAUAUCUGCAUUAAUGACAUAGGAUUAAUCAAUGCCGAGAACGCUGUUAAGCUAAAUAAUGAUGUUUUGGGAUUAUGUUGGGAAAAAGUGACAUUCAUUCAAAUAUAUAAUUUUCACAAUUAUUAGUUUUUUGAACAUUGUUGUUUGGUUCUUUCUUUGGAAGGUUAUUUUUGAAAUGUAGGCGGGGCAGUUGGAUAAAAAUUAGUAAUUAACAUAACCCGAAAGCAACUAGUACAUGAUCUAUUUCAAACCUUAAGUUCUUCCGCCAUCCUUUCAUUCAAAGUAUUUUGUACACCGCGUUUGAUGGCUAUCUUUGCAAUAGCACUCUUCUUCCAUAACUUCACCAUGGCCAUAGCAAGACCUUGCAAUUCUCUGUUUCUUCCUAGAUCAUUAAGCAAAUAUAGCUAAUAAAAAACAAAAAUCUGAAUAUUAAAUAAAUUCACAUAUCAUGUUGAGCAUACCGAGGGCAAAAUGUGGAAGCAUUUUUCUGGCAGUUCUGCGAAAAUAUGUCAUUUCUUUGUUCCGUAAUGCUUGUCUAACCCCAUUGGGAAGUAGUCUAAAUGGGGGUCUAUAUCCUGGAACGACAGCAGGCAGCAAGUCUGCAUCAACAGGCAGCGGUUCCGGACCUGACCAAUCUAUGAACCUUGGACCAAGCUCGUCUAAAAGAAGGUUGAGCUCACUUAGAUCCAUUAGCUCCUCUUCAGAUAGACCAUUCAAAUACUUAGAAGUAUAAUUUUGAGAUGAUUCUGCAGCUCCAGAUAACAGUUUCACGUUACCGCAUUGAGUAACAUCAUUAACAGAAUCUGACGAAGAUCUAGCCUCAAUAUCAGCUUGAAUACGUUUACUAUAUGCUUGCACACAAUCAAGUUGGUAAGACAUUCCUCUGUAUAGAACUACCGAACUUCCUGAUCUCCAUAUAACCAAACCUCCAGUUCUAGCCUAACAAUUAAACAGCACAAUAUAUGGAAGAAGAAAUACACUUCAUCAUGAAUUCUUGUAAACCGUGAUACAAAUAAAUCGUAAAAUUGAAAUUUGAAGAGAAACUACAAUGGUAAGAAUGUAAUGAACAAAGAAAUAGUUUAAUGCUCACGAAAUUAGCAAUUCAACUUGAAGGCAGCAUUUACCCACUAGUACAAUAAACAUUUAUUACAAUUGGCAGUUAAAUCAUUCUUCUCUACUAAAAAACUUAAGAUAAGUGGACACUUACCUCAAGAAUCUCAUGUGUCCUCUUCAUGUUCUUUGAAGGAGGCCCUUCAAAUUUCAAUUUUACGAUUUCCUCGUCCUUCCAUUUCGCGUGGAUUGCAUCGGUUAAUGCUUGUGUUAUUCCCGCUGCCCCGACUUUCAUUCUCUCUACCAUCCUCAAUGCCACAUUUCUAAGCCUCUUCAGUUCAGGUUCCGGUAUCAAUUUUUCUGCCAACUCUGUAUUACUCUUCCUUAACUUCUCCUCUUUCACAGGGUCCUCAUUAGUUCCUCUCUGCCAUGGUAAUCUCAUAGAAUCACUAACAUCAUCUGAUCCUUUUUUACUGCUGAAUUCUUGAGAAAUGCUCCGUGAAUCCUCCACAAAAAAGGCAUCUUCACUCUCGUCUUCAAUCAAAAUCUCAUAUUUUUCUGAUAAUCCUAUAGGGAUAGUAUCAACCUUGCCACUUGUUUCAUCACAAUUGCAAUCUAAUUUAACUCCCUUUAUCAAAUCCCCAGAGUCUUCAACAACACUACCAAAAGCUUCAUCAUUUUUACAAUGCUCAGAAAACCCAUCAAGGUUUUGCCCUCUAUGAUUACUUUCUUCUUGAAUUUUUUCUGUAGCUUGAGAAUCAGGCAAGUCCUUCCUUGGUUUAUUUCCAUGAACCCAAGGAGCUAAAAUCGACUUAUUUCUUGAACUAGAGCUCGCAGAGCUAUCCCCAGAAGUAUUGUCCUCACUUACUGUCACAGUAACGACACCCUCAGAUAACGGCAGCAGAUGUUCUUCAUAAUCCUGAAUCGAAUCAUCACUCUCUUGUUUAUGUUCUUCCCAAGGGAAUUUCUCUCUUAAAGAAGGGAUUUUGAGGGACCAUUUAUCUUGAAUUUUUUCAAUAAAGCUUGGCCUGGGUUUUCUCUUCUUCUUUACAGGGUUGGUUUCGUGUUGAACGGAUUUUGUGCAAGAAAUUUUCAAUUUUUGACCUCGAAAUCUGUUUGAACAAUGGGGUUGUGAGUGAAAUGUGAUCAAGUAGAAAGAUUGAGAAGAAUAUGAAGAUGAAGCAGAGAACAAAUUCGAAGGCAGGGGUGAAGGAGCCAUGGUGAUGAGGUUGAAGAAUCUCUGCGAGAACGAGCCUUAAAAAGAUGGCCUGAAAAUUUCUGACUAACCCAAAUUGCCAAUGAAAAUGGGUUUAGGAAUUUUACAUAAAUAGCAUUAAAUGUGGGAAACUAUGAUCGCUUGGCAUCUUAAUAGUUAAUAGAAUAGAACUAAUGAAUAGCUCAAGCACUUUACCUUAAAAAUUUUAAAUUAUCUAAUAGGGAUGGGAAAAUAUUUCGCGACCGCCCGAUAUUACAGUGUCCUAUCUCGAACAGAAGGAAAUUUCUACUUCAUUAGAAGAUCAUGGGAAUGAAGAACAUGGUCCCUGUCCCAAAUUUCUUAUACAUUCCUAAAUCUUAUAAUUUUAGAAAAUAUUAAAAAAAUAAUUAAACAACAUAUUAAAUGGAGAUAUUAUAAUUCACGCUCCUCUCUUCUUCUCUCGAUAAUCUUGUCAAAGCGGUCUCAUUUGCUUGACCUUAUACCUUCAAUUUUUUAUUUUUUAAGACAAUAUCAAACACACCUCUCGAACUUUUACGCGCAAUCACUUUUACUCAUACCUCAUAUAAGUUGGGUUUAUUAUCAAGUAAAGAAGAAAUUUUCUACAAUUCGUGCAGUUAUGGUUAAUUCGUUCAAAGUAAACUAUGUAAAUAUAAAUUGACAUAUAGUAAAUAGAAUUCGUUUGACGUUGUUUAAAUUUAACUAUAUGUAAUUUUUUAUUUUUUAAGACAAUAUCAAACACACCUCUCGAACUUUUACGCGCAAUCACUUUUACUCAUACCUCAUAUAAGUUGGGUUUAUUAUCAAGUAAAGAAGAAAUUUUCUACAAUUCGUGCAGUUAUGGUUAAUUCGUUCAAAGUAAACUAUGUAAAUAUAAAUUGACAUAUAGUAAAUAGAAUUCGUUUGACGUUGUUUAAAUUUAACUAUAUGUAUUUAGUUAUUUUGUUUAUAGGUAGGAUUACUUUUGUGAACAUUUAUGUUUAGACAUAUAUCAAAUUUAAUUUGACAAAUUAGUUAUUUACGAGUAUAAAUAAAUAUCAAAUAAUAAAAAAUGAUAUUAUGAUAUUCUUUUGAAAUAUUUUAAUGAUUAAUAUAUUAAAAUUCGACUGUAUAACAAUGUCAUCAUUAAAUAAUAAAUUCUGAGGGUAUGCAAUGAUUUAAUGAAUUAAUGUAUACUAUAUUUUAAUUAAAUUUUACUUGAAUUGAUUCAAAAUAAUAUGUUUAGUAGACAAAUAAGUGUACUUCAAGAUAUAUUUUUCUUCUAGGUGGAGGAGUUGUAUCUUCGAGAACUAGUAAGAAGUUAUAAUUGCAUCUACUACAAUGAAGGUAGAACUAAUUGGUUUCUAUAAAGCUACAACACUCACAUUAUUGUUGGGAAAUUUCAUCAAAGCGUUAAACGUUGUUGAUACUAUAGGGAAGCCUUUGAAGAUUUAUUGCGAUAGUUCGAUUGUACUUUUCUUUUCAAAAAAUAAUAAAAGUAGAAGUCGAAGUAAAAAUAUCACUAUAAAAUAUCUGGUUGUUAGAGAUCAUAAAAUGAAAAAUAAAGUGAUCAAUGAGCAUAUCAAGAAAGAUUUUGUGAUAGCAGAUCACGUGACUAAAGGCUUGUCAGAUAAAGUUCAUGAAUAGCUUGUUGAGAACAUGAGAUUUGCUUGCACUAUCAUGGUACUCUAAUUUUUUGUGUUUAAGAUUGUUUUUUCUAUGUUUUAAACGAUGUUAUUGGUGCAAAGUUUAUGAUCGAUAUUCAAUUGUGAUCCCCCCCCCCCCCCCCCCGGGGUCGUUAUCGACCUUAAGAAUGACUUUUCAACAAAUCUUACAUUUCAUAUUUCUAUAUACCGUGACUCUAAAAAAGAAACGAAGGCUAUUAACUAAUGGUUUAACUCUCUUCUGGUUAAUGAAAUAAAACCAAUGUGCUCUAGCAUUCUAUGAACAUGACAAGAAUAUCUUUAGUUAGAAACCAAGAAGCAAUAUGCUUUCAGUUGCAUCGAUCUAUUUACAGGUCCGACUAUCAAUUAUUGAAACAAGAGGAUCCAUGAAAGAUACCGGUAUACAACUUAUAUGACAGUGGAGAAGCUGAUGAGCGAAGAUCUUUAUGUAUAUGAGAUCCUGACCAUCAAUUCCAUGCCAGGUGAAACACCUUGAGUACUCCUCUAGUUGGCUAAGAUUCUUGAUCUUCCUCAGUCAGCAAAUAUUUCAACCCUCUUGCUAAGGGACGAGUUAUUUUCAUGCGCUGCUGUCCUUACUGCUGUAAUUUGUGUGAAGGUACGCCCUUUGAUCUUC
This 6388-nucleotide long non-coding RNA is filed under the name Olea europaea (common olive). RNAcentral's name for it is "long non-coding RNA (OEUR_LNC004346)". The record is from RNAcentral. Lineage: Eukaryota; Viridiplantae; Streptophyta; Magnoliopsida; Lamiales; Oleaceae.